ACCACCCUGAACGAGCCUAGUCUCGUUUGAUCUGGGAAGCUAAGCAGAGUCGGGCCUGAUUAGUACUUGGAUGGGAGACCACCUGAGAAUUAAAAAA
RNAcentral lists this ribosomal RNA (97 nucleotides) under Microtus ochrogaster (prairie vole). Lineage: Eukaryota; Metazoa; Chordata; Mammalia; Rodentia; Cricetidae. The record is from RNAcentral.